Molecule: small RNA, 139 nt
Filed under: Arabidopsis thaliana (thale cress)
Lineage: Eukaryota; Viridiplantae; Streptophyta; Magnoliopsida; Brassicales; Brassicaceae
Description: ATSL052510
Source: RNAcentral
GUUUCUGAAUUUGGUUUUUAGUUUUUCGAUUUUAGAUUUUAGUUUUAGUUUUUGUUAUUAAAUUUUUGUUUUUAAAAAAAAAGUUUUGCUUUUUGAGAAAAAAUAACGUAGAUGAAGUAGAACUAGAUUUCCUAAAUAA